CGUGGCCUCGUGGUAACGCGCCUGACUGCUGUGCCUGAGGCUGUGGGUUUAAU
RNAcentral lists this transfer RNA (53 nucleotides) under Oxyrrhis marina. Its description in RNAcentral is "partial tRNA". Lineage: Eukaryota; Dinophyceae; Oxyrrhinales; Oxyrrhinaceae. The record is from RNAcentral.